GCGAAAUGUACGUUCACCUGUAAGGUCAGCUUCAAGCCGCCUUCACAUCCUCCUCUUCUUCAUCCGCAUCUGAGAGCAAGAGUUGGGAGUUCUGCACUCCGCGUGCUGCGAGCUCGACGUUUUUGAACGCAAGCUACAGUCUCGGAGGCAUGCUGGAGCCAAUUACAGCUAUCUCUUGGUAAGAGGCGGAGUAUACCAAAAACUGGUCGCCAGCCACACACAGUAGCCCUAACGCUGAAUACUUCAUACAAGUAAGAUGCUGCUGGGCACCACGGUGAGGAAUCUGGAAAGCGUUGGCCUCACAGUUCUGAUGUCCGGCGUUCCAUCCCGGACCCGCCUGUGUGGAGUUUGCAUGUUCUCCUCGUGCCUGUGUGGGCUUACUCCAGGCCCUGGGGUUUCGUCCCACAUCCCAAAAACAUGCAACAUUAAUUGGACACUCUAAAUUACCCUGCGGUGUGAUUGUGAGAGCGGCUGUUUUGUCUCGUUAUGUGCCCUGCGAUUGGCUGGCAACCAGUUCAAGGUGUACCUCGCCUCCUGCUCAUUGACAGCUGGGAUAGGUUCCAGCACGCCCUGUGACCAUUGUGAGGAUAAGCGGCAAAAGAAAAUGGAUGGAUGGAAGAUGCUGCUGUGCCUGGAAUUAUGUAUGAUGUAUGACUAAUGCCCUUGUUCUGGCCAAUGUCAUGCUGACUUCAAAUUGAUCCUGCGAGGCAGACAACAUUGCUGUGUGGGCAAGAGGCGGUUUGGUGGGCGGGACCUUGAUGUGUCGGAUGUAGAAGUAGAAAUGGAAACGAAUGUUUCACAAUAAAUUGAUCACAACCAGAACAGUCCAGUUGUGAUUGAUUCAGAACCCUGACAAAGUUUCAGAAUAAUAAAAGCACAACGGUGUACGUACUUCAAUUUGAACUGUGUGAUUUCUACCCACAAAUGUGAUCCCAGUUCCAAGCUAAUUCAUACAACAGCUUUAAUUUCCUGUACAUACAAAACAAACGAUUCUCAGGUGUUACAUGUACUAAAAUAUAAUUGUACAGUAUAUGUCAAUUAUCUUUACAACCACACCAUUUGAAGAGAGAAGAACUGUCGUGAGCAGGGCUGGAGCACUACCAGUCGAUGCGUGGCCUGGUCACCGCUCUGGGUGGUGCCACCUCUGGCACUUGUGACAACUGUUGUGCAUUCAGCACGUUAAUUGACCAUGAAUUUAUGUUGCUGUUUUUAUCACAGGCAUUUGCCAAUUCAUUGAGUUUGCACCGGGUCACCGGGUGGGGAGACUGCUUCUGAAAUAAAACCCACUGGACAUUAUGCCUUUGCCUCAGAGUCCUGCAUUUGGGUCCUCCCCCGCAUCGAUGGCUUGUGACAAGAACUAUAAGUUUAGAGAUAACAUCUUUAAACAGCGCAAGUUACUACGAAGAGUUUGUACGUUAGCAAACCGAUUGUGCACAAUUGUUUGAUAUAGAAUAAACCACCCAGACUGGCUUGUCGGCUGCUUGAAAAUGACAGAC
Molecule: long non-coding RNA, 1496 nt
Organism: Syngnathoides biaculeatus (alligator pipefish)
Lineage: Eukaryota; Metazoa; Chordata; Actinopteri; Syngnathiformes; Syngnathidae
Exons: 3
Source: RefSeq, a predicted model, not a curated record